CACGUAGGCACCAAGCGUUGUUCGGAAUUACUGGGCGUAAAGAGUGUGUAGGCGGUGUUCUAAGUCUGUUGUGAAAUCUCCCGGCUUAACUGGGAGGGUGCGGCGGAAACUGGAAUGCUAGAGGAUGGGAGAGGUAAGCGGAAUUCCUGGUGUAGCGGUGAAAUGCGUAGAUAUCAGGAGGAACACCGGUGGCGAAGGCGGUUCUCUGGGCAUUACCUGACGCUGAGGAGCGAAAGUGUGGGGAGCGAACAGG
Molecule: ribosomal RNA, 253 nt
Filed under: uncultured bacterium
Lineage: Bacteria
Description: partial 16S ribosomal RNA
Rfam family: Bacterial small subunit ribosomal RNA
Source: RNAcentral